CAAUGUGUGGGAAGGCAGAGGCACAGAAACUCACAUCAAUACCUUUGUCAGAUAACACUGUUAAACAAAGAGGAAACUCUGACUGAACGACUCAAAAACUCCCCAGCUUAUGCUCUCCAAAUGGACGUUAGCUGUGAGGGCCGAGAUGCUCAAGCAUUGACUUUUGUUCACUAUACAUGUCGGGGGAUGCUAUUCACAGGACAUAUUGUUGUGUCUCACGAUUUCCAAGUAUGAAACAGCAUAGGGGAUGUUCAGUGUGCUGCAUGGCUAUAUUGACAAAAACCAUAUUCCAUAUGGGAUCGAAUUAUGGGUUUUUGGGGCUCUAUCCGUCCCGGGAUGGAGGGCAAACCUCUGCACUCCAGUUCUGAAUGUGUCUCCCUCUGCCAUAUGGAUGCAUUGUAUGAUACACCGAGAGCAACUGGGGGCAAAAACGCUGAGCACAGAACUCGGAGAUAUACUGCAACAGAUUCGCACAUCACCCAUGCUCGUCUUCUGAGGUGGAGGGAGGGAGAAUGGAAAGGUAAAGUCCCCCUGGUUCAAGGAAGUUGGAAAAACAAACUCACAAAAGAAUACAUAUGAAGCAAAGAACAGCAUUAGGAGUAGAGAUGGGUGGAUGCCAUGGAAUCGCUGUGUUCCGUCACUUAUGCAAUUCUACCUGGAACUGGGAUGUAAUCCAGCCCUGUGGAGUGGAGGGAAAUGUAUUCCAAAACCUGGGGCUUCUUUCACUGUGUGAGGAAUGAGUUGACAACCCAGACGCCUCAAAUUCCUUUCGGAAUACUUUUUGGGAUUCUCAUUGGAAUUGCCUAUUACAGAGGAACACCCUUGGAUGGUUUCGAUGAAAUGUUGUGGGUUUCGUAAUAAAGCUCCACUCUCCCUUAACGAUCGGUCACAUGCCAAAGGAAUACAAUAAGAGAAGGCGAUACAGUGUUUUGUUUUCCUCCCCGAGGGCCUUGGAAGUGUUAGCACACAUCGAUGUCACGUCGAUGCACCAAUAUCAAACGGUUGUUCGGUGAUCUCUAGGGCGCUUUAUAAUCUUUAUAAUCCUCUCUCGCUCUCUUUCUCUCUCUCUCUCCCUCUCUCUCUCUCUACCACUCUCUCUCUCUACCACUCUCUCUCUCCCGCCGUCUAUAUGGACAACUGAAUAGUAUACUCAACAAUUAUGAGAUCAAAUGCAUCCAUUUUGGAUGACGGUGGAAAAAUAUAUAAUUAUUUGGCCAAAAACAUGGGCUCUCAAGAUGAGGUCAAAAGAAGCACCUGGUUUGGUUUGAUUACAUGAAGCUACAGCACAAGCAAUGCAUUGUGGUUAGAUGGUGAAAUGGUGAGUUAGGUUUCAUUCUGACACAAACUUUACAGAGAGGAAACUGACCCUAUUGUAUACCACUUGCCGAUGGAACACGGAUCAAAUACUCGUUUUCCCCUUACUGUUGACUGUGUAUGUAUUUGUAUGUGAGAUACACCUUCAAUCUUCUCUGAUUUGAUACCCAUAUUUCCUUUGAAUUAUGAAGCAACAAUAAGAAAAAAACGUGAGAUGGAAUUUUAUGCUUUCAUAGGUAAAAUAUGUGGAUUUAUAAAGAAAUAAAAUUAUUUUUCUUGAAGACAUUA
Salvelinus namaycush (lake trout) is the source of this 1602-nucleotide long non-coding RNA. RefSeq lists it as uncharacterized. The transcript has 3 exons. The record is from RefSeq and is a predicted model, not a curated record. Lineage: Eukaryota; Metazoa; Chordata; Actinopteri; Salmoniformes; Salmonidae.